UACGGAGGAUCCAAGCGUUAUCCGGAAUUACUGGGCGUAAAGAGUUGCGUAGGUGGCAUAGUAAGUAGAUAGUGAAAGCGUGGGGCUCAACCUCAUAUCCAUUAUCUAAACUGCUAAGCUAGAGGGCGAGAGAGGUAACUAGAAUUCCUUGUGUAGGAGUGAAAUCCGUAGAUAUAAGGAGGAAUACCGAUGGCGUAGGCAGGUUACUGGCUCGUCCCUGACACUAAGGCACGAAAGCGUGGGUAGCAAACGGG
This 254-nucleotide ribosomal RNA is filed under the name uncultured bacterium. Its description in RNAcentral is "partial 16S ribosomal RNA". It matches the Rfam family "Bacterial small subunit ribosomal RNA", at positions 524 to 776 of the family's 1533-position model. The record is from RNAcentral.